AAUCAAUUAUUUUAAUUGCUCAAAUAAGCAUAAGGAAUUAAUUGAAGUAGGUGAGGGAGCUCACAAGCAGUUUGAAGAUAUUUGCACCUUCAAAGACAUGCACUUCCUAUAGGAGUUCAAGCAAAAAUCAAAGCAAAUAAUUAACAGCUACAGGUAUGGAAAACGUUGAAUUACACAAAAACAAGGGUCAUGACCAACUGUGUACCUGCUGAAGUUGACAUUUUAAAAGAUGACAAUCUAGGAACUCUAAAAUGGUUGUGUGGUCCAGCAAAGACACGAAUUCAAAUGUAAAUCAUUUAAUUAAACUUUGAGGCGAAGCCAUUUGAAGAACAAGGUCAAGGCCUGUGUCUUCCCGCGGGACAGUGGUCUUCCUUGCCGAGGCGCGCGGGCAGGGCGGGGCCCUAGCACUGUAGCUCCUCCCCCUCGGCCAGCCGGGGGCCGCCGGCCGAGCUCUGCGCGCUGGCGUGGGCCGUGGAGCUCAGCACCUCCUCGAAGCUGCCGCCGCCGUGGUUCGCCCCGCCUACUUUCGUCUGAAACGGGCCAAGAGGCACAGUUUUCAACUUCUCAAAUCAAAAGAGA
RNAcentral lists this long non-coding RNA (579 nucleotides) under Capra hircus (goat). RNAcentral's name for it is "lncRNA (ENSCHIG00010023329.1)". The record is from RNAcentral. Lineage: Eukaryota; Metazoa; Chordata; Mammalia; Artiodactyla; Bovidae.